UGGUGUGGUAAUGCCGGAUGUUCCACAUGAUCGCAUGUGAUUGUGGGAAAGAUUCUAUCGGCGUGGGAUGGGGUCGCGUCCUAUCAGCUUGUUGGUGAGGUAACGGCUCACCAAGGCUUCGACGGGUAGCCGGCCUGAGAGGGCGACCGGCCACAUUGGGACUGAGAUACGGCCCAGACUCCUACGGGAGGCAGCAGUGGGGAAUAUUGCACAAUGGGCGCAAGCCUGAUGCAGCGACGCCGCGUGAGGGAUGGAGGCCUUCGGGUUGUAAACCUCUUUUGUUUGGGAGCAAGCCUUCGGGUGAGUGUACCUUUCGAAUAAGCGCCGGCUAACUACGUGCCAGCAGCCGCGGUAAUACGUAGGGCGCAAGCGUUAUCCGGAUUUAUUGGGCGUAAAGGGCUCGUAGGCGGCUCGUCGCGUCCGGUGUGAAAGUCCAUCGCUUAACGGUGGAUCUGCGCCGGGUACGGGCGGGCUGGAGUGCGGUAGGGGAGACUGGAAUUCCCGGUGUAACGGUGGAAUGUGUAGAUAUCGGGAAGAACACCGAUGGCGAAGGCAGGUCUCUGGGCCGUCACUGACGCUGAGGAGCGAAAGCGUGGGGAGCGAACAGGAUUAGAUACCCUGGUAGUCCACGCCGUAAACGGUGGACGCUGGAUGUGGGGCACGUUCCACGUGUUCCGUGUCGGAGCUAACGCGUUAAGCGUCCCGCCUGGGGAGUACGGCCGCAAGGCUAAAACUCAAAGAAAUUGACGGGGGCCCGCACAAGCGGCGGAGCAUGCGGAUUAAUUCGAUGCAACGCGAAGAACCUUACCUGGGCUUGACAUGUUCCCGACGACGCCAGAGAUGGCGUUUCCCUUCGGGGCGGGUUCACAGGUGGUUGCAUGGUCA
This 885-nucleotide ribosomal RNA is filed under the name Bifidobacterium bifidum. Its description in RNAcentral is "bacterial SSU rRNA". It matches the Rfam family "Bacterial small subunit ribosomal RNA", at positions 156 to 1051 of the family's 1533-position model. Lineage: Bacteria; Bacillati; Actinomycetota; Actinomycetes; Bifidobacteriales; Bifidobacteriaceae. The record is from RNAcentral.